AUAAAAUCAAUGUUCACCCCAAUUUCGGAGGAAAUCAAUCAGUAUACACGUGAUUUGACACGUGUUUUAACAUUCCAACACCGCCAACGGGCGAGUUUAUCGACAUUUUUGGAACGAAAAGUAGCGGCAUUCGAUCGACUACGUGAUGCUUAUAGUGAAGAAAAAACCAAAAAAGAACACUAUAAAAAG
Molecule: small RNA, 189 nt
Filed under: Caenorhabditis elegans
Lineage: Eukaryota; Metazoa; Nematoda; Chromadorea; Rhabditida; Rhabditidae
Description: Unclassified non-coding RNA Y39B6A.86
Source: RNAcentral